This is a long non-coding RNA of Salvelinus namaycush (lake trout), 514 nucleotides long. RefSeq lists it as uncharacterized. The transcript has 4 exons. The record is from RefSeq and is a predicted model, not a curated record. NCBI's taxonomy places the organism in Eukaryota, Metazoa, Chordata, Actinopteri, Salmoniformes, Salmonidae.
CUCUCCUCUCCUCACACUCCAACCCUGCUCAUCUCUCAGCUGGACAGUAAGGGCCUUUCACACCACACACUGACAACAUGCUGGGGACACUCUGCACUCUCAUCACUGCUCUAACAUAUGUCAGUUGCCAGAAAGCAGUGACACAGACACCUUCAGUACUGACUGUCAGUACAAAGGGGACUGCUACUUUUUACUGUGACAUUACCAAAGAUGAAGUCAAUUAUGUAAGCUGGUAUAAACAGGUUCCAGGAGGAGCUCCUCAGUGGGUUCUGCAGCCUCUCCUCUCCUCACACUCCAACCCUGCUCAUCUCUCAGCUGGACAGUAAGGGCCGUUCACACCACACACUGACAACAUGCUGGGGACACUCUGCACUCUCAUCACUGCUCUAACAUGUGUCAGUGGUGUGACUGUGGUGACACAGAAGCCUCCUGUUGUGACAGUGAGCAAAGGAGACACGGCCACUAUGGACUGUAACCUGGGGACUGUUGAUAAUAGAGACGGCCACUCUGGACU